GCUGGGCGUGGUGGCGCAUGCCCGUAAUCCCAGCUAUUUGGGAGGCUGAGGCAGGAGAAUAGCUUGAACCCGGGAAGCAGGGGAUGCAGUGAGCUGAGACUCGCCACUGCACUCUAGCCUGGGUGACAGAGCAAGACUCUGUCUCAA
Molecule: non-coding RNA, 147 nt
Filed under: Pan troglodytes (chimpanzee)
Lineage: Eukaryota; Metazoa; Chordata; Mammalia; Primates; Hominidae
Source: Rfam by way of RNAcentral